ACGAAGGGGGCUAGCGUUGUUCGGAAUUACUGGGCGUAAAGCGCACGUAGGCGGAUUUGUAAGUCAGGGGUGAAAUCCCGGGGCUCAACCUCGGAACUGCCUUUGAUACUGCAAAUCUCGAGUCCGGAAGAGGUGAGUGGAAUUCCUAGUGUAGAGGUGAAAUGCGUAGAUAUUAGGAAGAACACCAGUGGCGAAGGCGGCUCACUGGUCCGGUACUGACGCUGAGGUGCGAAAGCGUGUGGAGCAAACAG
Molecule: ribosomal RNA, 251 nt
Filed under: uncultured prokaryote
Description: partial 16S rRNA
Rfam family: Bacterial small subunit ribosomal RNA
Source: RNAcentral